Fukomys damarensis (Damara mole-rat) is the source of this 125-nucleotide unclassified non-coding RNA. The record is from Ensembl. NCBI's taxonomy places the organism in Eukaryota, Metazoa, Chordata, Mammalia, Rodentia, Bathyergidae.
UAGGGUGAGCGUACGAACUAAGAUGGCGGCGUUCGUGUGCUUCUGUGCUUACCGCAGUUGGCAAGGCCGCUACAGGAUAACUCUGCUAACGAGUGUUCAAGAAACUCGCCGGUUUAUGUGUGUGG